GGCUUUGUAACCAGAAGAAGGAGGUGGACGUUUCUUCUAAGUGGGAGUCCUAAGGGAUCUGAUUGCUGAUUUUUAAGAGAUCUCAAACAUUUUGUGGGCCAUUACAAAGCUCAUGUCCCCUAUGUCUGUGGGGCCUAAUGAUUCAAACAGCCAUGACCAGGACUGCCUGUGUGGCCCAGCCUGGCUGGCAUUCAAGUGAAUAACAUCAUCUCCAUCUCACUGCACAGAAGUAUGAACUGCGGUGUCAGCAGGUUUCCAUGACACCACCGGCGAUGUAGAGCACACAUCUCUCCCACACUCUGCUGGUUACCAGGCCCUGGCAGUACAGACCAGGCCUCCUGGGUUGCCUUCCUCCUUCCGGCUCCUUCCGGCUCCUUCCUCCUUCCGGCUCCUUCCUCUUCACUGCCACGCUCUGCUCCCCAGACCUCCGGCCCAGAAGGAGUGACCCAGAGCCUGAGGCGAGAGAAAUUUUGAGGCAGAGACUGAAGCUGAGGGUGAAGCCUAGGCCAGGCUAGAGAGAAAACACUGUGAGAAAGGACUGAGGCCCCCACAUGCUGGAAUCUUGUGGAAAGAGGUGAAGGCAAAGCUGGGGAUGAGAGAGAGAAGAGGGAGCAGGAGAGUAGUGAGGAAAUAAGGUGGGGAAACAGCUGGGAAGACAGACAUGCAUCUGGAAGAUUCCAGAAAAGGCCAUUUCAUCCAGCCCUGCUCCAGCAGUUUGUGUUUCAGCAGCCUCACGGGACACCUGGUCUUUCCUUUCUGACAUUGUUCUCCAUCUGUCCAGCACCUCUUGGAGAUCACAAGGGGCUCUCCACAUGAGACUUUUGAAACUAAGAAACAGAUUUGGGUGUUGCACGUGUUUGCUCUGGAGCCACACUGCUUGGGCUCAAAUCCCAGAUCCAUGGCUUCAUCACCUGUGAACCUUGGGCACAUUUCCCCACAUGCCUGUGCCUCAGUUUCCUCAGAUGUGAAAUGGAGUGGUGAUAGUUCCCACUUUUACUGAGUCAUUGUGACGUUUCCUGUGAAAGGCCUAACAUAUGAAAAGCACUCCAUAAAUGUUUAGCUAUUAUUAUUUCAAGGAGUUGUAAAAGCAGGAUCACAAAAUUGUGGAAUAUCAUUAAUGUUUACAUUUAACAAAUUAUACCCUUUAAUUCAAAAAAUGCAAAGGCAUAUAACUGUGAUAUUUACAGGUAAUAUAGAAGUUAGGGUUUUUUUCUAUAUAAUUAAUUUAUAGCACCCUAGAGGUAGGAUGGUUCAAUCAUGGGACGUGAGUUUAGAGCUGAAUGAGAAGUAUCUGUGUUAUGACCGUAUUUAUAACCUUAUUUGGAAGCAACGUUAAAAGCCUAAAUUUGAGGUCCUUUGUAAAUGUUUGUCUCCAAGCCAAAUGCUUUUCCUGGUCCCCUUCCUGACUCCUGCUCCCACCCCCAUUCAUAUCUUAAAAUGAUUAGGGCAGAAAAGGGUGGGGGGAGUUGGAAUAGACUCUACUUCCUGUCUCUCUGAUUUUACAAUUAGAUUAACAGGGCAUAAGGCCUUCACCUCUACAACUGGAUGAUUUAUAGUUUUAUAUAUAUUACACACACACACACACACACACACACAGAGAAAGAGAGAAAGAGAGAGAGCGAGAGAGACAGAGAGAGAUAUUCAGCCUAAUAUGUCAGUAUAGAUCCUUUUGCAAUUCAUGAGCAUGAUGAUGGGGUAUCACACUUAUGUGUGAGAUGUGCCUCCCUCAAACCUUCUUCCUACAGGUUGGCACUUUGCCCACCUGACAUGAAAAGAAAAAGUCAUUGUAGAAGGAGAGGUAAUGCAAGGCUAAAACUCACUUGUCCUGUAAACAACUGAAGACAAGCCAGUCUUUGAGAAGAUGAAAGCCUGCAGGUGCUAGCCAAAAGAGGAGUGGGGAGGACAGGUAAACUUUCCCUACCUUACAAUUUUGUUUUUACUCACAUAUGCCCAAUAGAAGCUGCGUGUAAUACAAGCAAAAAAUGAAUGACUUUCUACCAAA
This 2002-nucleotide long non-coding RNA is filed under the name Pongo abelii (Sumatran orangutan). RNAcentral describes it as "lincRNA". The stretch from base 1664 to 1768 matches the Rfam family "Small nucleolar RNA U13". Lineage: Eukaryota; Metazoa; Chordata; Mammalia; Primates; Hominidae. The record is from RNAcentral.